This 500-nucleotide ribosomal RNA is filed under the name uncultured bacterium. RNAcentral's name for it is "partial 16S ribosomal RNA". It matches the Rfam family "Bacterial small subunit ribosomal RNA", at positions 30 to 523 of the family's 1533-position model. The record is from RNAcentral.
AUUGAACGCUGGCGGAAUGCUUUACACAUGCAAGUCGAACGGCAGCACGGACUUCGGUCUGGUGGCGAGUGGCGAACGGGUGAGUAAUACAUCGGAACGUGCCCAAUCGUGGGGGAUAACGUAGCGAAAGCUACGCUAAUACCGCAUACGAUCUAAGGAUGAAAGCGGGGGAUCGCAAGACCUCGCGCGAUUGGAGCGGCCGAUGGCAGAUGAGGUAGUUGGUAGGGUAAAGGCCUUCCAAGCCGACGAUCUGUAGCUGGUCUGAGAGGAUGGUCAGCCACACUGGGACUGAGACAAGGCCCAGACUCCUACGGGAGGCAGCAGUGGGGAAUUUUGGACAAUGGACGCAAGUCUGAUCCAGCCAUUCCGCGUGCAGGAUGAAGGCCCUCGGGUUGUAAACUGCUUUUGUGCAGAACGAAAAGGCUCUGGUUAAUACCUAGGGCUCAUGACGGUACUGUAAGAAUAAGCACCGGCUAACUACGUGCCAGCCGCCGCGGUAA